GGUUAAAAAGCUCGUAGUUGGAUUUCUGUCGGUGAGUGGGAGUCCGCCCUCAGUGGUGGGUACUUUUCACGCCACCGGCAUCAUCCUGGGGACUGUGUCUGCUCUUUGUUGAGUGGCGCAUAAUCCAGGACUUUUACUUUGAAGAAAUAGGAGUGUUUCAAGCAGGCAAUCGCCAUGAACACGUUAGCAUGGAAUAAUAGCAUCGGACCUCGUUCCAAAGCUGUUGGUUUCUUGGGACGAGGUAAAGGUGAAUAGGGAUUGUUGGGGGCAUUCGUAUUUAACUGUCAGAGGUGAAAUUCUUGGAUUUGUUGAAGACGGACUACUGCGAAAGCAUCUGCCAAAGAUGUUCUCAUUGAUCAAGAACGAAAGUUAGGUGAUCGAAGACGAUCAGAUACCGUCCUAGUCUUAACCAUAAACUAUGCCGACUGGAGAUCGGGGGUCGUUAACUUUAUGACGCCCUCCUGCAUCUUGAGAGAAAUCAAAGUCUUUGGGUUCCGGGGGGAGUAUGGUCGCAAGGCUGA
This 521-nucleotide ribosomal RNA is filed under the name uncultured marine eukaryote. RNAcentral describes it as "SSU rRNA". It matches the Rfam family "Eukaryotic small subunit ribosomal RNA", at positions 617 to 1140 of the family's 1831-position model. The record is from RNAcentral.